Long non-coding RNA from Mytilus californianus (California mussel), 408 nucleotides. RefSeq lists it as uncharacterized. NCBI's taxonomy places the organism in Eukaryota, Metazoa, Mollusca, Bivalvia, Mytilida, Mytilidae. The record is from RefSeq and is a predicted model, not a curated record. The transcript has 3 exons.
GUGUAACUGGCAGAAUGGCUCAUUUAAUAUUGGAUUUUCAUUAAAGAAUUGGACUCAGUCUUUUGGGAUAGAUGCAGAUUCGGUGACAGACUAUGUUGUAGAUUUACUUCUGGAAGAACUUGGAAUAGCCAAAUUUAUGUCUGAACCAAAAUGUAACAGAGCAGUUUCUCCCUAUAGUCCUAGUUAUGAUGGAUGGAAUACAACUUGUGAGAAACCUAUUGAUCUUCAGCCACUGCCAGGACCAGUGACUUGUAAUAUUCCAGAUAUCUGUACAGGGGUAGAAUGUUGUAUUGAUGUGGAUCCUAUAAAACGAUCAUUCCAUAUGUUUGUUUUCCUUGAUGCUUGCUCUAACAGACUGAGGAUUGGAAUUGAAAAAUAUGAAAUUGAUAUUUCACUGUUUGAUUAUAA